RNAcentral lists this ribosomal RNA (253 nucleotides) under uncultured bacterium. RNAcentral's name for it is "partial 16S ribosomal RNA". It matches the Rfam family "Bacterial small subunit ribosomal RNA", at positions 524 to 776 of the family's 1533-position model. The record is from RNAcentral.
UACGAAGGGGGCUAGCGUUGCUCGGAAUCACUGGGCGUAAAGGGUGCGUAGGCGGGUCUUUAAGUCAGGGGUGAAAUCCUGGAGCUCAACUCCAGAACUGCCUUUGAUACUGAGGAUCUUGAGUUCGGGAGAGGCGAGUGGAACUGCGAGUGUAGAGGUGAAAUUCGUAGAUAUUCGCAAGAACACCAGUGGCGAAGGCGGCUCACUGGCCCGAUACUGACGCUGAGGCACGAAAGCGUGGGGAGCAAACAGG